This 407-nucleotide ribosomal RNA is filed under the name Xanthomonas vasicola pv. vasculorum NCPPB 1381. Its description in RNAcentral is "bacterial SSU rRNA". It matches the Rfam family "Bacterial small subunit ribosomal RNA", at positions 29 to 430 of the family's 1533-position model. Lineage: Bacteria; Pseudomonadati; Pseudomonadota; Gammaproteobacteria; Lysobacterales; Lysobacteraceae. The record is from RNAcentral.
GUGAACGCUGGCGGCAGGCCUAACACAUGCAAGUCGAACGGCAGCACAGUAAGAGCUUGCUCUUAUGGGUGGCGAGUGGCGGACGGGUGAGGAAUACAUCGGAAUCUACUCUUUCGUGGGGGAUAACGUAGGGAAACUUACGCUAAUACCGCAUACGACCUACGGGUGAAAGCGGAGGACCUUCGGGCUUCGCGCGAUUGAAUGAGCCGAUGUCGGAUUAGCUAGUUGGCGGGGUAAAGGCCCACCAAGGCGACGAUCCGUAGCUGGUCUGAGAGGAUGAUCAGCCACACUGGAACUGAGACACGGUCCAGACUCCUACGGGAGGCAGCAGUGGGGAAUAUUGGACAAUGGGCGCAAGCCUGAUCCAGCCAUGCCGCGUGGGUGAAGAAGGCCUUCGGGUUGUAAAG